AUCUUUGAUUUCACAACCAGCUAAGGCAUGUGUCUGUACACAUGUUUACGGUUCUGGUGGAAAUCUUUGGAUUCUGAUGAUAUUGAAAGUCUGUGCUUUGCUGUUAUCUAUCUGUCUUCUCCUUCCUAAGAGAACCUCAUCUUCCAGGGAACUAAACUUGUCUUACUGGUUUGGCCCUCAUGAAAACUAAAGAGGAAACUUGCUGCAACAUCAUUAAAAAGCCCAGGCAGGCCAUGGCUGAACUCUGGCAGUGUGGGAGCAAGAGCGGCUGGGACUCUCUGCUUUCCUUGUCAUCACCACAUAAAAACAAGGGAGCACUCGAGGGAGGUCCAGUGGGUACCAGGAAGGGCCUCUUUGCUAAAACAAAAAGAAGGGGAGUGAAGGCAGUCAAGGCACCACUCACGGAACUCAUCACAGAAGUCACAGUGCACAUUUGGUGCCUACCAUAAAAGGAACUUGGGCAAACCAGGCUUACAAACUCAAUCAACACCCAAUAAUCGACACAAAAUGAAUCUGCAUGGCAGAU
Homo sapiens (human) is the source of this 526-nucleotide long non-coding RNA. NCBI's taxonomy places the organism in Eukaryota, Metazoa, Chordata, Mammalia, Primates, Hominidae. The record is from Ensembl.